UAGUAUGUGUAAUGUUACGCAUUUUAGAUGCAGUUUAGAUAAGCUACACUUUUCUUCAGUUCCCGAGAUUCUUCGAAGACAAUCUGUACAUACCACAUUCUCAUUCAAACCACAAAUCUGUGAAUAGAACUGCUGUUGCCUCUUUCAAGCGGUUCACCCUAGUGCAUUUUCAAUUGACACUGGAUUUCAUGAACUGCAGUCUGUCACUCACCUCCAACUUGACGUUCUACUUGGUUCCUAUUUCAUGUAUACACUCAUUCUGCAGAUGUCCUGCGAGUGUAGUUUUCAGAGUAUGCUCUAGUUUUAUGUAUACAUAGUUCGGAGAAAGCUUAGACAUGUACAAAGGGACAUAUGAAUGAGGAAUCUACAGUGUUACAAAUGUGCUAUGGUAGAACGUACCAAUGCACUUGGUGUUCACUAAUAGUUGAUUUUGUGAUUUGUUAAAAGUCGAUAUACAUUUACAUACAGAAAACACUGUGCUUGUAGGAGCACUUGGAUUUAAAAAGACCCAACAUUGAACUCAAGAAUGACGAAGGGUUCAAAUAACUCAGCAAAUACCUUGAGUGGCUCCUGACCACCUUGCAUAUCAGUUUCAUUCAGGUCUGAAUAUUGGUUAUAAUCCUUUGUAUUACCUACGGCUUGAUUUGUAGGCAUAUUCUUCCAGAGACCUGACAGUCAAGAAGGUAUUAACAAUAAUCCUGAUUCCAAGCAUGUAUAACAACACCCAAUCUUAUCAGUCAUAAU
RNAcentral lists this long non-coding RNA (744 nucleotides) under Physcomitrium patens. RNAcentral's name for it is "long non-coding RNA (PPAT_LNC009573)". Lineage: Eukaryota; Viridiplantae; Streptophyta; Bryopsida; Funariales; Funariaceae. The record is from RNAcentral.